UUCCGGUUGAUCCUGCCAGACCUGACUGCUAUCGGAUUGAUACUAAGCCAUGUGAGUCAUUGUAGCAAUACAAGGCAGACGGCUCAGUAACACGUAGCCAACCUACCCUAUGGACGGGGAUAACCUCGGGAAACUGAGGAUAAACCCCGAUAGAUCAUUAUACCUGGAACGGUUUAUGGUCCAAAUGAUUCGUCGCCGUAGGAUGGGACUGCGGCCUAUCAGCUUGUUGGUGAGGUAAUGGCCCACCAAGGCUAUUACAGGUACGGGCUCUGAGAGGAGAAGCCCGGAGAUGGGUACUGAGACACGGACCCAGGCCCUAUGGGGCGCAGCAGGCGAGAAAACUUUGCAAUGUGCGCAAGCACGACAAGGUUAAUCCGAGUGUUUCCUGCUAAAGGAAUCUUUUGCUAGUCCUAAAAACACUAGCGAAUAAGGGGUGGGCAAGUUCUGGUGUCAGCCGCCGCGGUAAAACCAGCACCUCAAGUGGUCAGGAGGAUUAUUGGGCCUAAAGCAUCCGUAGCCUGCUCUGUAAGUUUCCGGUUAAAUCCAUUAGCUUAACUGAUGGGCCGCCGGAAAAACUGCAAAGCUAGGGAGUGGGAGAGGUAGACGGUACUCGGUAGGAAGGGGUAAAAUCCUUUGAUCUAUUGAUGACCACCUGUGGCGAAGGCGGUCUACCAGAACACGUUCGACGGUGAGGGAUGAAAGCUGGGGGAGCAAACCGGAUUAGAUACCCGGGUAGUCCCAGCUGUAAACGAUGCAGACUCGGUGAUGCCCUGGCUUGUGGCCAGUGCAGUGCCGCAGGGAAGCCGUUAAGUUUGCCGCCUGGGAAGUACGUACGCAAGUAUGAAACUUAAAGGAAUUGGCGGGGGAGCACCACAAGGGGUGAAGCCCGCGGUUCAAUUGGAUUCAACGCCGGAAAU
RNAcentral lists this ribosomal RNA (917 nucleotides) under uncultured archaeon. RNAcentral's name for it is "bacterial SSU rRNA". It matches the Rfam family "Archaeal small subunit ribosomal RNA", at positions 1 to 925 of the family's 1478-position model. The record is from RNAcentral.